This 1499-nucleotide ribosomal RNA is filed under the name Triticum aestivum (bread wheat). Its description in RNAcentral is "partial small subunit ribosomal RNA". The record is from RNAcentral. Lineage: Eukaryota; Viridiplantae; Streptophyta; Magnoliopsida; Poales; Poaceae.
CCGGUGUGUGUGUGUGUCUCUGCCGAAUGACCUCUCCGCCCCGGCGGCGAAAAGCCGGAGGAGGGGUAACCUCGCGUGUUUCGGCCCGCCGUGGUAAAUUGUGAUGGUGGAGGUGGAGGUGGUGGUGGUGGUGGUGCGCGUGGCAGUGCGUGUGGUUCGCGGCCCCUCAGCUGUGCGUCCUUGGUGUGACCUGAAGCGGAAGGGGCCGGGCGACGAGGGGGGCGACGUAGGUCUAGCCUGGGCCUGACUCUAACAACGGUCCUCAGGUGUGAACCUUCUUAAUCGCCUCGUCAUCCGCUUUUUGAACGGGUCCCACACUUGUUUACGUCAUUUUGAACUUUGUUCUUCGAGACUAGACGACGGCCGUAAGACUUCAACGAGACCUCGAUCGUCACGUAGGAAGGUGCGACCUUCAUGGUCUAAGACAAGAUCUCCUCAACGACCCGUAUCUCUACCGUCUGCUAGGAUUAGUUUUGAAGCCCGGCAAAAGCGUCGGUAAGACGUCGGUCUUACACCAAAGUAAAGUCUGCACGCGCUGCGGGUCGCCCAGCCCUCCGUCGUACGGCCACAUGGAUCUGACGAGGUCGUCGUACCCCAGAUUGUACCCCUACUACUUGUGGUGCGGAAGUCAUCGACAGAGGUGUUCAAGUAGGUUGUACCAACGACUUAGACGCGUCUUGGAGUUUAUACCUCCUGGGGAUCGACUUUCGACCAGCGUAGAGCUCUAGGUUCACGACUUUCUAACGGAUCUAUCUAUACACUUACUUGUACCAUAGUACUUCAUGUAUUUCUAUCGGCGAAGGGAUGGUUGGUUCUGCCACUCCCUACAGCGCUACUCUACGGUUACCUACCCCUUGUUUGUUUGAUGUUCUGCCGCCUCCGGACGUCUUGUAGUAUCGUCUUUUUACUUUCUAUCUUUCCUAUUUUACCACCCCGGAAGUAGGACCCCAUGGUGAGUAGGACAAGUCUGUCUAUGUCCUCAGAGAAGGAAACACGGCGUAGUACGGUAAGUUUUGUCAGUUAUAGAUAGACCUCGGAGACUCUACCUAGCAUAUCAUGUCGAACAUGACCUUCUUUUAUUAGCCGAAGAACGAGUCUAUCUGUGUUUAUAAGUUUGUAAAGUCCGAGUUUUAUUGUUGCUAGAGAAGUUAGCGCACUCUUCCUUGUAACUACCGGAAAACUUUUAGUACUCGGUUUACGGCCCUUUUUACUCAGUCUACGGAGUCAACCCUCAACGCCACUUACUUUUGGAACGGUCAAUGAACGAGGGUCUAGAAUGUUACCGUGUUCAAGAACCUUUAUCGGUAAACUUCCUCCUCGGUUCUCCUACCACUCAGCGUCGGUUUCGUCCAGUGUCUACUCGGUCUAUGACUUUGAAGUAGCCAUCAAGCUGCUCAAUAUCCUUCUAUUUAUGACGAAGUCGUACAUGCGGCCUACCGCUGCUUAUCUCAGUGGUUCCUUGGAACAAAGGAGAUAGACCUUCGUUUCCUCUCCUUUAA